RNAcentral lists this ribosomal RNA (380 nucleotides) under uncultured eukaryote. RNAcentral's name for it is "partial 18S ribosomal RNA". It matches the Rfam family "Eukaryotic small subunit ribosomal RNA", at positions 592 to 976 of the family's 1831-position model. The record is from RNAcentral.
CAAUAGCGUAUAUUAAAGUUGUUGCGGUUAAAAAGCUCGUAGUUGGAUUUCUGCUGAGGACGACCGGUCCGCCCUCUGGGUGAGUAUCUGGCUCGGCCUUGGCAUCUUCUUGGGGAACGUAACUGCACUUGACUGUGUGGUGCGGUAUCCAGGACUUUUACUUUGAGGAAAUUAGAGUGUUUCAAGCAGGCGCACGCCUUGAAUACAUUAGCAUGGAAUAAUAAGAUAGGACCUUGGUUCUAUUUUGUUGGUUUCUAGAGCUGAGGUAAUGAUUAAUAGGGAUAGUUGGGGGCAUUCGUAUUUAACUGUCGGAGGUGAAAUUCUUGGAUCUGUUAAAGACGGACUACUGCGAAAGCAUUUGCCAAGGAUGUUUUCAUUGA